GGGGAUGUAGCUCAGUGGUAGAGUGUUUGCCUAGCAUGUAGAAGGCCCUGGGUUCAAUACUCAGUACCA
Molecule: transfer RNA, 69 nt
Filed under: Heterocephalus glaber (naked mole-rat)
Lineage: Eukaryota; Metazoa; Chordata; Mammalia; Rodentia; Bathyergidae
Rfam family: tRNA
About the family: Transfer RNA (tRNA) molecules are approximately 80 nucleotides in length. Their secondary structure includes four short double-helical elements and three loops (D, anti-codon, and T loops).
Source: Rfam by way of RNAcentral